AAGAAAGUGACUGCCGCCCCGCACAGGGGCGAAGCUAAUAAACCGAUAGCAAAACAAGUUUCAUAGGAGCGCAAGCGCAUCAAACGGUUCAAUAAACCCCAACCCCGAGCGCCAG
This is a small RNA of 115 nucleotides. It matches the Rfam family "Burkholderia sRNA Bp1_Cand684_SIPHT". The record is from Rfam.